AUCCAGUCUGCAGCGUACCGGGUUUCAGGGUUUGUCGCUGUCGAUCGGUGGCAAUGAUUGCUGGAAUUGGAAACACAGAGCCGGACUAAGCCAUGGGGAACAACGGGUAGGGCCAGAGCGAGCGUCUUGCUUUUUGGUCGUCUUCGGAAUUUUUUGGGAAUAUCCCGAGAUGUCUCUAUCGAGUUCUCCGCCGAUUCCGCAUGACAGUUUUCCACUUCGAAGUAUGCUCAAAACGGAAACCCCAGGAGGCAAUUGCGAGAUUCAGCUUCACUCUUAGUGUUAGGGAGGAAAGUACAGUACAAUACCAUCUAGUUAUCUAGAAGCACUUGUGGACCUUGAACGCUCUAGGUUGUCAACUUUAUUGAGCUACUCUGUGCUG
This 379-nucleotide small RNA is filed under the name Histoplasma capsulatum var. duboisii H88. RNAcentral describes it as "Histoplasma capsulatum H88 hypothetical RNA". Lineage: Eukaryota; Fungi; Ascomycota; Eurotiomycetes; Onygenales; Ajellomycetaceae. The record is from RNAcentral.